This 1360-nucleotide ribosomal RNA is filed under the name metagenome. RNAcentral's name for it is "SSU rRNA". It matches the Rfam family "Eukaryotic small subunit ribosomal RNA", at positions 3 to 1362 of the family's 1831-position model. The record is from RNAcentral.
CCUGGUUGAUCCUGCCAGUAGUCAUAUGCUUGUCUCAAAGAUUAAGCCAUGCAUGUCUAAGUACACACUUAAAGUGAAACCGCGAAUGGCUCAUUAAAUCAGCUACAAUUUAUUAGAUCGUACACUGUUACUUGGAUAACUGUGGGAAUUCUAGAGCUAAUACAUGCCGAGAGUCUCUGCUCUUCGGGGCAGAGCGCAGUUAUUAGACCAAAACCAGCCGUAUUCUUCGGGGUACGCUCUUUUGGUGACUCUGGAUAACCUUCAGCCGAUCGCAUGGCCUCGUGCCGGCGACGUAUCUUUCAAGUGUCUGCCCUAUCAACUUUCGAUGGUACGUGAUAUGCCUACCAUGGUGAUAACGGGUAACGGGGAAUCAGGGUUCGAUUCCGGAGAGGGAGCCUGAGAAAUGGCUACCACAUCCAAGGAUGGCAGCAGGCGCGCAAAUUACCCACUCCCAGCUUGGGGAGGUAGUGACGAAAAAUAACAAUGCGGGACUCUAAGAGGCCCCGUAAUUAGAAUGAGUACACCUUAAAUCGUUUAACGAGUAUCAAUUGGAGGGCAAGUCUGGUGCCAGCAGCCGCGGUAAUUCCAGCUCCAAUAGCGUAUAUUAAAGUUGCUGCAGUUAAAAAGCUCGUAGUUGGAUCUGGGGCUUGAGGUCGCUGUCUAUCGUUUCGGCGAUGACGGUGAUGCUCAGCUCUGCUUGCCGGUGACUGUUGCGGUGUUCUUCACUGAGCGCUGUAGCAGCACGGCACGUUUACUUUGAAAAAAUUAGAGUGCUCAAAGCGUGCUUGUCGCUUGAAUAAUGUUGCAUGGAAUAAUGGAAUAGGACCUCGGUUCUAUUUUGUUGGUUUUCGGAGCUUGAGGUAAUGAUUAAGAGGGACGAACGGGGGCAUUCGUAUUGCGGUGUUAGAGGUGAAAUUCUUGGAUCGCCGCAAGACGGACUACUGCGAAAGCAUUUGCCAAGAACGCUUUCAUUAAUUAAGAACGAAAGUCAGAGGUUCGAAGACGAUCAGACACCGUCCUAGUUCUGACCAUAAACGAUGCCGACCAGCGAUCCGUAGUGGUUGCUUUAUGGACCCUACGGGCAGCCUCCGGGAAACCAAAGUAUUUGGGUUCCGGGGGAAGUAUGGUUGCAAAGCUGAAACUUAAAGGAAUUGACGGAAGGGCACACCAGGAGUGGAGCCUGCGGCUUAAUUUGACCCAACACGGGAAAACUCACCCGGUCCGGACACCGUAAGGAUUGACAGACUGAUAGCUCUUUCUUGAUUCGGUGGAUGGUGGUGCAUGGCCGUUCUUAGUUGGUGGAGUGAUUUGUCUGGUUAAUUCCGAUAACGAACGAGACUCUAGCCUGCUAAGUAGUGUU